RNAcentral lists this ribosomal RNA (232 nucleotides) under uncultured bacterium. RNAcentral's name for it is "partial 16S ribosomal RNA". It matches the Rfam family "Bacterial small subunit ribosomal RNA", at positions 118 to 351 of the family's 1533-position model. The record is from RNAcentral.
UGAGUAACCUGCCCCUGACUCUGGGAUAACCGCUGGAAACGGCGGCUAAUACCGGAUAUGAACCUUCCUCGCAUGGGGUUGGUUGGAAAGAUUUUUUGGUCAGGGAUGGACUCGCGGCCUAUCAGCUUGUUGGUGGGGUGAUGGCCUACCAAGGCGACGACGGGUAGCCGGCCUGAGAGGGCGACCGGCCACACUGGGACUGAGACACGGCCCAGACUCCUACGGGAGGCAG